Molecule: long non-coding RNA, 592 nt
Organism: Oncorhynchus tshawytscha (Chinook salmon)
Lineage: Eukaryota; Metazoa; Chordata; Actinopteri; Salmoniformes; Salmonidae
Source: Ensembl
AUUUCUUGUUGUUCAUGGAUGCAGUCAGAUUGUUGCCUUAUUGGAAGGCUUAGCCUCUGCAGCUAAGUUUCUACACUGACUUGGGACCACAAUGUAAUGAUGUGUGUAGGUUAACUGAUGUUUUAACUUUUAGUUUCCUCUUUGCAGUAGAAUUGUGGUGUAUAAUAUCCUGUGCUGUCUUUCUGCCCCUGACAAAGCAAAGGAAGAAUGCACUAGAAUGACUGAAAUGACUGAAUCAGCGUGGAAGUAAAACUGUAGUUUCCCGAGACAUCCCAGGAACUGUUUUUCAAACUGAAACCACACCUUUGGUAAUCAUCCAUUUAAGGCCAGGUAUGGCAGCUUCACAAUUUGAAAAUGGACCACAUGUGGCAGCGGGGCACAUUGGGCCACACCAGCCAGUUCCUCAGCCCAACCCUGGCACAUGGCACCCAGUGCAUGGACCCGAAGGAUCAGGGCCCCAUCUAACCGAUCAUCAGCCCCAUCCUCAUGUGCACCAGUCUCGACCCUACUUCUAUGUGCAGCCCCCUCCUCCUCUCCCCCUCUACCACUACCAGUGGCCCAUGCCCUACAACCCCUGCUCUGGAAUUCCAGG